RNAcentral lists this ribosomal RNA (468 nucleotides) under uncultured bacterium. Its description in RNAcentral is "partial 16S ribosomal RNA". It matches the Rfam family "Bacterial small subunit ribosomal RNA", at positions 28 to 507 of the family's 1533-position model. The record is from RNAcentral.
GAUGAACGCUGGCGGCGUGCUUAACACAUGCAAGUCGAACGGUGAAGGCGGAGCUUGCUCUGCUGGAUCAGUGGCGAACGGGUGAGUAACACGUGAGCAAUCUGCCCCUGACUCUGGGAUAAGCGCUGGAAACGGCGUCUAAUACUGGAUACGAGCUGCGAAGGCAUCUUCAGCAGCUGGAAAGAAUUUCGGUCAGGGAUGAGCUCGCGGCCUAUCAGCUUGUUGGUGAGGUAAUGGCUCACCAAGGCGUCGACGGGUAGCCGGCCUGAGAGGGUGACCGGCCAUACUGGGACUGAGACACGGCCCAGACUCCUACGGGAGGCAGCAGUGGGGAAUAUUGCACAAUGGGCGAAAGCCUGAUGCAGCAACGCCGCGUGAGGGACGACGGCCUUCGGGUUGUAAACCUCUUUUAGCAGGGAAGAAGCGAAAGUGACGGUACCUGCAGAAAAAGCGCCGGCUAACUACGUG